Molecule: non-coding RNA, 133 nt
Filed under: human gut metagenome
Description: glmS glucosamine-6-phosphate activated ribozyme
Rfam family: glmS glucosamine-6-phosphate activated ribozyme aptamer
About the family: This entry contains a glucosamine-6-phosphate activated ribozyme that is found in the mRNA for GlmS. GlmS is an enzyme that uses fructose-6-phosphate and glutamine to generate glucosamine-6-phosphate. The ribozyme catalyses self cleavage of the glmS mRNA that is thought to regulate GlmS activity.
Source: RNAcentral
AUUUUAGCGCCAGGACCUUAGAAAAAGGUCGACGAGGAGAAGGGUUAUCGAUAAUUCGGCGGAUGCCCUUCCGUAGAUCUCAAUGCGACAUAUAUUGGCAAAUAUGUGGGUAACUACAAAACAAAUCCAAUAU